GCAAAAUCAGGAACAGGAGCUAUCCUUUAUGGCUUGACCACCAACAAUGUUUACUAUUUCACUAGAUACUACAUAAGGCUCUUUAUGAAGAGAAUAUUGUUGGGUUUUACUAGACAUUAGAAAGAAAAUUAUCAAUCCUAUAAUAUCUAAUAGUUUAGUUGCAUCCUUUGCAUUUUCAAGAUGAAUUUUUUUUUUCAUUUUAAUAUUUUGUGCAAGAAAUUUUAAGAACCAUUUGAUAAUGAUUAAACCUAUUUGCAGGCCUAUGUACUUGUCUGACUUGGCCAGUGAAAUAGAGAGGGUUGAAUGGGGUGUUUCUCCUUCAUUCCAUCUUGUUAGUUUUCCUAUUAUUUGGAUGGUCUUGGAUUCAUGAUUUUAGCAUUGCCAAAC
Molecule: unclassified non-coding RNA, 387 nt
Filed under: Hevea brasiliensis (rubber tree)
Lineage: Eukaryota; Viridiplantae; Streptophyta; Magnoliopsida; Malpighiales; Euphorbiaceae
Source: RNAcentral